RNAcentral lists this transfer RNA (72 nucleotides) under Cavia porcellus (domestic guinea pig). It matches the Rfam family "tRNA". Rfam says of the family: Transfer RNA (tRNA) molecules are approximately 80 nucleotides in length. Their secondary structure includes four short double-helical elements and three loops (D, anti-codon, and T loops). The record is from Rfam by way of RNAcentral. Lineage: Eukaryota; Metazoa; Chordata; Mammalia; Rodentia; Caviidae.
AGGGAUAUAGCACAGUGGCACAGCACCUGCCUGGCAAGCACAAGAUCCUGAGUUUAAUUCUUGGUACCUCCU